CUCACAGCAAGUGGCAAAAACCCUGUAAUGGAGCUCAAUGAAAAAAGAAGAGGUCUCAAGUAUGAACUCAUCUCAGAGACUGGUGGAAGCCAUGACAAGCGCUUUGUAAUGGAGGUAGAAGUAGAUGGACAGAAAUUCAGAGGCGCAGGUCCAAAUAAGAAAGUGGCAAAGGCGAGUGCAGCUUUAGCUGCCUUGGAGAAACUGUUUUCUGGACCCAAUGCGGCAAAUAAUAAGAAAAAGAAGAUUAUCCCUCAGGCAAAGGGCGUUGUGAAUACAGCUGUGUCUGCAGCAGUCCAAGCUGUUCGGGGCAGAGGAAGAGGAACUCUAACAAGGGGAGCUUUUGUUGGGGCGACAGCUGCUCCUGGCUACAUAGCUCCAGGCUAUGGAACACCAUAUGGUUACAGCACAGCUGCCCCUGCCUAUGGUUUACCCAAGAGAAUGGUUCUGUUACCCGUUAUGAAAUUUCCAACAUAUCCUGUUCCCCACUACUCAUUCUUUUAGCAAAUGACAGAAGCUAAUUCCUAUUGAACAACAAUACAGUACAACACAGAAUGUUAGAGAAAAAGCCUUUUUAUCCUGCUUUCUUUGAACACAUACUUGAUCAAAAUUAUUUGUAAAGAACAUCUUUCCUACUUUUUGAUUUUAACAAAUGCAAAUUUAGUUCUCUAAAACU
RNAcentral lists this long non-coding RNA (673 nucleotides) under Homo sapiens (human). Its description in RNAcentral is "long non-coding RNA NONHSAT221288.1". The record is from RNAcentral. Lineage: Eukaryota; Metazoa; Chordata; Mammalia; Primates; Hominidae.